This 73-nucleotide transfer RNA is filed under the name Larimichthys crocea (large yellow croaker). It matches the Rfam family "tRNA". From Rfam's summary of the family: Transfer RNA (tRNA) molecules are approximately 80 nucleotides in length. Their secondary structure includes four short double-helical elements and three loops (D, anti-codon, and T loops). Further hydrogen bonds mediate the characteristic L-shaped molecular structure. tRNAs have two regions of fundamental functional importance: the anti-codon, which is responsible for specific mRNA codon recognition, and the 3' end, to which the tRNAs corresponding amino acid is attached (by aminoacyl-tRNA synthetases). tRNAs cope with the degeneracy of the genetic code in two manners: having more than one tRNA (with a specific anti-codon) for a particular amino acid; and 'wobble' base-pairing, i.e. permitting non-standard base-pairing at the 3rd anti-codon position. RNAcentral also lists the same sequence under 1 other name. The record is from Rfam by way of RNAcentral. Lineage: Eukaryota; Metazoa; Chordata; Actinopteri; Sciaenidae.
GCUGAAAUAGCUCAGCUGGGAGAGCGUUAGACUGAAGAUCUAAAGGUCCCUGGUUCAAUCCCGGGUUUUGGCA